AUACUUACCUGGCAGGGGUGACACCAUGAUCAUGAAGGUGGUUUGCUCAGGGUGAGGCUCCGUCAUUGCACUCCGACGGAGCUGAUAUCUCUGCGAAUUCCCCAAAUGUGGGAAUCUCGACUGCACAAUUUGUGGUAGUGGGGGUCAGCGUUCGCGCUACCCCUG
Molecule: small nuclear RNA, 165 nt
Organism: Doryrhamphus excisus (bluestripe pipefish)
Lineage: Eukaryota; Metazoa; Chordata; Actinopteri; Syngnathiformes; Syngnathidae
Product: U1 spliceosomal RNA
Source: RefSeq, a predicted model, not a curated record